RNAcentral lists this ribosomal RNA (499 nucleotides) under uncultured bacterium. RNAcentral describes it as "bacterial SSU rRNA". It matches the Rfam family "Bacterial small subunit ribosomal RNA", at positions 28 to 530 of the family's 1533-position model. The record is from RNAcentral.
GACGAACGCUGGCGGCGUGGAUUAGGCAUGCAAGUCGGACGGUAGGGCUUUAUCGUAAGAUAGAGUUUGAGAGUGGCGAACGGGUGAGUAACACGUAGGAAUCUACCCUUAAGACGGGGACAACCCAGGGAAACUUGGGCUAAUACCGGAUGAGAGUGCGAGAGAUUGCAUUUAAAAGGAUGGCGAAAGUUGUCGCUUAGGGAUGAGCCUGCGGUCUAUUAGUUAGUUGGUGAGGUAAGAGCUCACCAAGGCGAUGAUAGAUAGGCGGCCUUAACGGGUGGUCGCCCACACUGGGAUUGAGAUACGGCCCAGACUCCUACGGGAGGCAGCAGUCGAGAAUAGUCUACAAUGGCCGGAAGGCUGAUAGUGCGACGCCGCGUGAGCGAAGAAGGCCUUCGGUUGUAAAGCUCUGUCUGGAGGGACGAACGAAAAUAGACGGUACCUCCGGAGGAAGCCACGGCUAACUACGUGCCAGCAGCCGCGGUAAGCAUACUCGUAA